UUGCUAUCUGCGAUAUGGAAGAUUCGAACCUGCCGCAGGUUCGGGUCUCACGUAGUGAGACAACGGAGCCGCUUGCGGCGACGGCCCGAAGGGCGAGCGAAAGCGAGUCAUCCUGCACGACCCACCA
This 127-nucleotide small RNA is filed under the name Salmonella enterica subsp. enterica serovar Typhimurium. RNAcentral's name for it is "RtT RNA". It matches the Rfam family "RtT RNA". Rfam says of the family: This family represents a bacterial cis-regulatory element known as RtT RNA. The exact function of RtT is unknown although it is thought that it may be involved in changing the cellular response in relation to amino acid starvation. The record is from RNAcentral. Lineage: Bacteria; Pseudomonadati; Pseudomonadota; Gammaproteobacteria; Enterobacterales; Enterobacteriaceae.